Molecule: ribosomal RNA, 253 nt
Filed under: uncultured bacterium
Lineage: Bacteria
Description: partial 16S ribosomal RNA
Rfam family: Bacterial small subunit ribosomal RNA
Source: RNAcentral
UACGGGGGGUGCGAGCGUUGUCCGGAAUCACUGGGCGUAAAGGGCGCGUAGGUGGUUUGAUAAGGGUGUGGUGAAAGCCCGGGGCUCAACCCCGGGUCUGCCGUGCCGACUGUCAAACUCGAGGGCUGUAGAGGCAGACGGAAUUCCGGGUGUAGCGGUGGAAUGCGUAGAGAUCCGGAGGAAGACCGGUGGCGAAGGCGACUUCCUGGCCUGUUCUUGACGCUGAGGCGCGAAAGCUAGGGGAGCAAACGGG